Molecule: transfer RNA, 73 nt
Filed under: Dishui Lake phycodnavirus 2
Lineage: Varidnaviria; Bamfordvirae; Nucleocytoviricota; Megaviricetes; Algavirales; Phycodnaviridae
Rfam family: tRNA
About the family: Transfer RNA (tRNA) molecules are approximately 80 nucleotides in length.
Source: Rfam by way of RNAcentral
GCUCCUGUGGUGUAGUGGUUUAGCACUAUGGACUUUGAAUCCAUCAACCCUGGUUCGACUCCAGGCAGGAGCU